This 969-nucleotide long non-coding RNA is filed under the name Olea europaea subsp. europaea. The record is from RNAcentral. Lineage: Eukaryota; Viridiplantae; Streptophyta; Magnoliopsida; Lamiales; Oleaceae.
GAAAAAAUAAUAAUAAUAAAAAUCAAACCAACCCAUUUCCCCCAAAUCGUCUUCUCUCUUCGCCAUUUUCCCCCAAAUUGGACCCAAGCUGCCAACCCAUUUCCUCCCUCCCAAAGCACCAAAAUGAUGCAAAACGGAGAUUUUAUAACAAUGCAUAACCAAUGAAAUAACACAAUUGCAGAGGUAGAUAUUAGGCGGAAAUUAGAGAUAGGAGGCAAAAUAUGAAGCCCUUCCACGACUGUCGACGACGUCGGGUGUUUCUUCCAUAUUUUCCACUCGGAACCAGGUCAUUACAGACGACGAUAAGAAUUUAUGGUUGGAUUUUAUUUUAUUUUGGUAUUCUUGCUGCUACUUUUCCCAUUCUCAUAUCCUAUUGUUUCUGAUCUUUUGAUCGAUAGCCAAUAGAAACUUCAUCAGAACAGAUGAUCUCUAUUUGGAGAUAUGUAGUGGUAGGUACAGUGAUUGCUGUUGCUAUACUGACAUCAUCAACAGAUCCUCUUACUCAACUGCUGCAGGCUGGACCCCUUAUGGGUCUUUAUUUGGGGUGGAGCAUGGAUGGUAAAGCUUCUUGGACAAUGAUUUACUUUACAAAAGUCGACGGGGUAUCCAAAUUUUAUAUGUUGUAGGCAGUUUACCAAGUUUCCAAGGAAACCCACUUUCAAGAAAUGCCCAUAUAAAUUAUCAGACUGAACUUAGUUUCUUUCUUCCCGCACAUGAUUAUCUAUCCUUUGGUGGUAAUAUGUUUUAAAUGUUUGCUAGUAUGAGCUCCGAUGAUUUGCCUUAUAGUAGUUUGGUUACAAAGGAUCCGUAGUAGGGUUUGGGAAGAUUUUGUACUAUUGCUUGAAGAGAGAACGGGAUUUAAUGAUGUUGGUGACCGAGUGGAAGAAACUUGUUCCUUACGUUUAAUGUUCUAUACUGUAGUACCUUGUGACCAUGUCUCCAUUGACGGGAAAUACAUCAAAAUAGUCU